RNAcentral lists this ribosomal RNA (283 nucleotides) under uncultured Pseudomonas sp. RNAcentral's name for it is "partial 16S ribosomal RNA". It matches the Rfam family "Bacterial small subunit ribosomal RNA", at positions 1100 to 1382 of the family's 1533-position model. Lineage: Bacteria; Pseudomonadati; Pseudomonadota; Gammaproteobacteria; Pseudomonadales; Pseudomonadaceae. The record is from RNAcentral.
AACCCUUGUCCUUAGUUACCAGCACGUUAUGGUGGGCACUCUAAGGAGACUGCCGGUGACAAACCGGAGGAAGGUGGGGAUGACGUCAAGUCAUCAUGGCCCUUACGGCCUGGGCUACACACGUGCUACAAUGGUCGGUACAAAGGGUUGCCAAGCCGCGAGGUGGAGCUAAUUCCAUAAAACCGAUCGUAGUCCGGAUCGCAGUCUGCAACUCGACUGCGUGAAGUCGGAAUCGCUAGUAAUCGUGAAUCAGAAUGUCACGGUGAAUACGUUCCCGGGCCUU